This 35-nucleotide transfer RNA is filed under the name Allochrocebus solatus (sun-tailed monkey). RNAcentral's name for it is "partial tRNA-Arg". Lineage: Eukaryota; Metazoa; Chordata; Mammalia; Primates; Cercopithecidae. The record is from RNAcentral.
UCGACUCAUUAGAUUAUGAUCACCAUACUAACCAA